RNAcentral lists this small RNA (472 nucleotides) under Pongo abelii (Sumatran orangutan). RNAcentral's name for it is "processed transcript". The record is from RNAcentral. Lineage: Eukaryota; Metazoa; Chordata; Mammalia; Primates; Hominidae.
GCUGUUGCUGCUGUGAACCUGGCCACCUGCCACGGGUCCUGUCCUUCAAUGCCGCCUUUGGGCAGCGCUGGCUGGCUUGGGAGGUGACAGCCAGCAAGUACGUGCUGGAGGGCUAUAGCAUUAGUGACAAUAAUGCUGCCUCCAUGCUGCAGGUUUUCGACCUCCGCAAGAUCCUCAUCACCUACUAUGUCAAGUGGCCAGGGCUGGGACCCCAGCCUGACGCCUGCCCCUCCUCUCCCAGAGCAUCAUCUACUACGUGAGCCGCUCACCAAAACUGGAGGUAUGGCUCAGCCAUGAGGGCAUCGCGGCAGCCCUGAGGCCUGUGCGGGCGCCCGGCUAUGCCGACUCGGAUCCCACCUUCUCGCUGAGUGUGGAUGAGGACUAUGACCUCCGCCUGUCUGGCCUCUCGCUGCCCUCCUUUUGCGCAGUGCACCUCGAGUGGAUCCAGUACUGCGCGUCCCGGCGCAGCCAG